Molecule: long non-coding RNA, 305 nt
Organism: Gordionus sp. m RMFG-2023
Lineage: Eukaryota; Metazoa; Nematomorpha; Gordioida; Chordodea; Parachordodidae
Exons: 3
Source: RefSeq, a predicted model, not a curated record
UUACAAAUCAGAGCGACAUAACUACAAUACGGCCGAAAAAGAAAAUUAACAAAAAAUCAUUAAAGAAGAUUUGAUCAACUCCAUCAGAUACCAUCAGCUGAAAACAAUAUUGAGACAAUAGAGAUGGCCAAAUCUGCAUGGAAAAAUCUAUGAGAUUGAUUUAUGAGGGAACAUAAAAACUAUAGAGCCAGGGAUUCAGUAUACCAAUUUGAAAAAAACAAAUUCUGUUAUAUCUAAAAUUGAUGAAGCAAAUAUUGCUAGAGCAAUGUAUGAGCCAAUGAAUGGUAAUGAAAAUUAUCAAUAUG